Molecule: transfer RNA, 75 nt
Filed under: Candidatus Woesearchaeota archaeon
Lineage: Archaea; Nanobdellati; Candidatus Woesearchaeota
Description: tRNA-Glu
Rfam family: tRNA
About the family: Transfer RNA (tRNA) molecules are approximately 80 nucleotides in length.
Source: RNAcentral
GCUCCCUUAGUGUAGCCCGGUCAAUCACUCGGCCCUUUCGAGGCCGAAACCCGAGUUCAAAUCUCGGAGGGAGCG